This 424-nucleotide ribosomal RNA is filed under the name Enterococcus canintestini. RNAcentral's name for it is "bacterial SSU rRNA". It matches the Rfam family "Bacterial small subunit ribosomal RNA", at positions 355 to 769 of the family's 1533-position model. The record is from RNAcentral. Lineage: Bacteria; Bacillati; Bacillota; Bacilli; Lactobacillales; Enterococcaceae.
CNUAGGAACUUCGGCAAUGGACGAAAGUCUGACCGAGCAACGCCGCGUGAGUGAAGAAGGUUUUCGGAUCGUAAAACUCUGUUUGUUAGAGAAGAACAAGGAUGAGAGUAACUGUUCAUCCCUUGACNGUAUCUAACCAGAAAGCCACGGCUAACUACGUGCCAGCAGCCGCGGUAAUACGUAGGUGGCAAGCGUUGUCCGGAUUUAUUGGGCGUAAAGCGAGCGCAGGCGGUUUCUUAAGUCUGAUGUGAAAGCCCCCGGCUCAACCGGGGAGGGUCAUUGGAAACUGGGAGACUUGAGUGCANAAGAGGAGAGUGGAAUUCCAUGUGUAGCGGUGAAAUUGCGUANAUAUAUGGAGGAACACCAGUGGCGAAGGCGGCUCUCUGGUCUGUAACUGACGCUGANGCUCGAAAGCGUGGGGAGC